GACGAACGCUGGCGGCGUGCUUAACACAUGCAAGUCGAACGGAAAGGCCCUGCGUUUGUUGGUUGCUCGAUUGGCGAACGGGUGAGUAACACGUGAGUAACCUGCCCUUGACUUUGUGAUAACUUCAGGAAACUGGGGCUAAUACCCGAUAUGAUCUCCUGCUGCAUGGUGUGGGUUGGAAAGUUCCGGCGGUUGUGGAUGGUCUCGCGGCUUAUCAGCUUGUUUGUGGGGUAGUUGCUUACCAGGGCUUUGACGGGUAGCCGGCCUGAGAGGGUGACCGGCGACAUUGCGCCUGCGAUAGGCAGCAGAAUGCUAUGGGAGGCAGCAGGCGGGAAUAUUGCACAAUGGGGGGACGCCUGAUGCAGCAAUGCUGCGUGCGGGAUGACGGCUUACGAGUUGUAAACCGCUUUCGAAUGUGACGAAGAGUGAGUGACGGUAAUGGGUAAAGAAGCACCGGCUAACUACGUG
RNAcentral lists this ribosomal RNA (468 nucleotides) under uncultured bacterium. RNAcentral's name for it is "partial 16S ribosomal RNA". It matches the Rfam family "Bacterial small subunit ribosomal RNA", at positions 28 to 507 of the family's 1533-position model. The record is from RNAcentral.